RNAcentral lists this ribosomal RNA (429 nucleotides) under Bacteroidota bacterium. RNAcentral's name for it is "Bacteroidetes bacterium partial 16S ribosomal RNA". It matches the Rfam family "Bacterial small subunit ribosomal RNA", at positions 355 to 776 of the family's 1533-position model. The record is from RNAcentral. Lineage: Bacteria; Pseudomonadati; Bacteroidota.
UAGGGAAUCUUCCGCAAUGGACGCAAGUCUGACGGAGCAACGCCGCGUGAGUGAAGAAGGAUUUCGGUUCGUAAAACUCUGUUGUUAGAGAAGAACAGCGCAUAGAGUAACUGUUAUGCGUGUGACGGUAUCUAACCAGAAAGCCACGGCUAACUACGUGCCAGCAGCCGCGGUAAUACGUAGGUGGCAAGCGAUGUCCGGAUUUAUUGGGCGUAAAGCGAGCGCAGGCGGUCAAUUAAGUCUGAUGUGAAAGCCCCCGGCUCAACCGGGGAGGGUCAUUGGAAACUGGUUGACUUGAGUGCAGAAGAGGAGAGUGGAAUUCCAUGUGUAGCGGUGAAAUGCGUAGAUAUAUGGAGGAACACCAGUGGCGAAGGCGACUCUCUGGUCUGUAACUGACGCUGAGGCUCGAAAGCGUGGGUAGCAAACAGG